This is a long non-coding RNA of Mytilus californianus (California mussel), 527 nucleotides long. RefSeq lists it as uncharacterized. NCBI's taxonomy places the organism in Eukaryota, Metazoa, Mollusca, Bivalvia, Mytilida, Mytilidae. The transcript has 3 exons. The record is from RefSeq and is a predicted model, not a curated record.
GAAAAAUGGUUGAUCAGAGAUCACGAAGACGUAAACAAACAGUUUUAAUACUUUUUAUGGACAAUCGGUGAAUAUUUAUAGGAGAACAAGGCUGAGACCAACCAAAUUUUUGGGUAGAAGUAUCAAACAGGAAUGGAUAAUCGAUGAACAAUUAGGUAAAAAAGAGUGGUACAAAGGAACUAUUCUUUCUGUAUUGUCUGGGACUGAUGGCAAUUUGAAUUCUGUUUAUGAGAUCAAAUAUGAAGGAGAGGAUGAGGCUUAUGAAAUAAACCAUUUAAUUCAAGAUUACCAGUCUGGAUCUGUUGAGUUUUGUGAUGUAUAGCUUAACUUCAGUUUAGAUAAACAGGAUUUUGGGAACUUGAAAAAACAGUAGAAUUUUUUGAAGCAUAGACUACUAAUUUGAAGAAUAUUGGACCUGUGAACAUUUCAUGUUGUUUGUAAAUGAUAUUUUAUGACAGUACUCAUCACAAGGAAGAUUUUGAUGUAUAAUAUGGUAUGCUAUAUAAACUGAAUAUGUAUUUAUUGAA